This is a long non-coding RNA of Hypanus sabinus (Atlantic stingray), 679 nucleotides long. RefSeq lists it as uncharacterized. Lineage: Eukaryota; Metazoa; Chordata; Chondrichthyes; Myliobatiformes; Dasyatidae. The transcript has 3 exons. The record is from RefSeq and is a predicted model, not a curated record.
CUUCGAGUGGGUUGGAUUCUCGGACUGGUUCACUGGCUUAGCACACGCAGAUAGAGGAGGGGAGGGGAAAGGAUCCAUAAUGUCACAGCAGCAAGAAGGGAACAUGGCCUGGAUGGUGGGGGUCCUAAAAGAUGGAUGCUGCUUUCCUGUGACAGUGCUUCAUAUAGAGGUGCUCAAUGGAGGGGAGGACUUUACCUGUGAUGGACUGGGCCAUAUCCACUACAUUUGAUAUGACUAUACAAAGGACCUGCCUCAAUGGCUACUGUCUGCCAUCGACCAUAAUGAAGUGCUUUGAGAGGUUGGCUAUAGUGUGGAUCAACUCCAAUUUGUCUACAGCUGCAACAAGCCAACAGGAAACAUAAUUUUGCUGAUUCUUCACUCUACUCUGGAACAUCUGAAAAUGGAAACUCAUACAUCAAGCUGCUAUUCAUUGAUUAUAGCUCAGCAUUCACCAUAAUAAUCCCAUUUAGACUAAUCAUCAAACCUCAUGACCUGGGUCUCUGUACCUCUGUAUGCAACUGGAUUCUUGACUUCCAGAUCAGCUGACCUUAAUCAGUGAAGGUUGGUAACAACAUCUCUCCCUCAUUAUUUUCAAUACAGGUGCUUAACCCCUGCUCACUUCUCCAUUUACACCUAACUGUGUGGCUAAGCACAACUCCAGUGCCAUGUUCAAAUUCAC